UUAGGAGUGCCAGAUGAUAUGGGGCUGAUUUAGGAUUAGUUUAUGGCUGUUGGGUCCUCUUGCA
RNAcentral lists this transfer RNA (64 nucleotides) under Brachycladium goliath. RNAcentral's name for it is "tRNA-Leu". The record is from RNAcentral. Lineage: Eukaryota; Metazoa; Platyhelminthes; Trematoda; Plagiorchiida; Brachycladiidae.